GAUGACUGCGAUACAAUCGGAGACAGUGACGGGGACAGCAGCCGAGAGGUUGCCAACACUGACCUUAAACCGACCGGUGAAGCCAUGGGACAGCUUUUAUUUCCCAGAAUUCCCCCAUAAGCACAAGGUGAAGCCGAGGAGAAAAAUGUCUUUGCGCUGGACUCAAUGUCUGGAGGAUUUAACACCAUCCAUCCAUUCCAACCACUACCACAACACCGCUGACGUUUACAAGGCACAAGACUGGGAAAGUUGCUUGAAGAAAUCAUGGGAUGAGGGCUUGGCCGAGUGCCUGGGAGACCAAAGACAGCUGGUCUGGGAACGCCUUGGACUUCCCCCAGAGGUGAAGUCUGGGAGACAGUUGGAAAACGGAAGAUGACCAUGAUGACGACUAACAAUUUACAAUAGAACAUUUAGUGAUGUUCAGGUUAUGCUGAAAUGAUUUGCUGCAGCAAGACUUCAUACUACAAAAUUGAGAAAAUUUCAGGAGUGAUCCUCAAAGACCAGAUUUUUUACAAAAAUCACCAGAGCCACAAUUAUUGACAUUCUUGUCGGUACUUUGUAGAUUUUGCCCAUAGGGAAUAAUUACUCAGUUAGUCAUUAAAGCAAGUUGAAUUUAUUUCUGGAUUAACCUCGUCUGUAUUGCUGUCUUCAUAUAUUUGGGAUCCUAAUCCUGCCAAAACGACCCAACAAUCCAUUUUGGGUAGAGGCUGCAAGAUUUUUUUCUAAACUCUCAUGCUGCUUAAAGGAGUUCAAGAUGUAAUGCAUCCUGAAUAAUGACUGUGCUUAUAUUAAAGACUGAUUUAACUCAUUUUUCAGUGUGAGAUUACACUUCUACAAUAAAAGCAAUUAUUUUUAAAGCUUUUUACAUAUCUUUGGAGCUAAUAUUAAACUGAUGACUGUAAUAGGCUAAUCUUAGUCACUAACAAUGACCUCUAGAUGAGAGAAAAUCAUGUCA
Xiphophorus couchianus (Monterrey platyfish) is the source of this 955-nucleotide long non-coding RNA. RefSeq lists it as uncharacterized. The record is from RefSeq and is a predicted model, not a curated record. The transcript has 3 exons. Lineage: Eukaryota; Metazoa; Chordata; Actinopteri; Cyprinodontiformes; Poeciliidae.